Long non-coding RNA from Solanum tuberosum (potato), 361 nucleotides. RefSeq lists it as uncharacterized. The transcript is spliced from 2 exons. Lineage: Eukaryota; Viridiplantae; Streptophyta; Magnoliopsida; Solanales; Solanaceae. The record is from RefSeq and is a predicted model, not a curated record.
UCCAUUAGGGAUUUUCUCCUCAAAAUAGGGAGUUGUUGGUUGAUAGUUCAAAUUUCUCCAUCUUCCCGUCACGCUUGCUGCUCAACAAAAGCCCAAUAUACGUCUUUUUUUCGCUAAAGCGCCUGCCAAGUUCAUCAAAAGGGAAGCUAAUAUUUAGUUAAAGGGGCCGUAAUAAAGCAGCAGCAGAAGCAGAAUUUGGGCUAAAGCCCUAAAACAUAUACCAGCAGAUUACAAUAGUUUCAGCCCCAAAAUGAUCGAAUAUAGGCUGAAGUCAAAUUGUCUUCUUAUUAUUAUUGUGAUCACUAACAAUAUUGUGAAUUAGUUUUUGAAUAAAAAAGAUCGAAUAUGGGCUCCAGUCAAA